AAGGAUCAUUACAGAGUUCAUGCCCUUCGGGGUAGAUCUCCCACCCUCUGUGUAUCAUUAUAGAAUGUUGCUUUGGCGGGCCGCGUGCCCCGCACGCCUCCAUUCCCGUCCAGCGUGUCCCCCCGAGGACCCCUAAACUCUGAAUGUUAGUGUCCUCCCAGUACCAUUAAAUAGUUAAAACUUUCACCACGGAUCUCUUGGUUCUGGCCUCGAUGAAGAACGCAGCGAAAUGCGAUAAGUAAUGUGAAUUGCAGAAUUCAGUGAAUCAUCGAAUCUUUGAACGCACAUUGCGCCUCUUGGUAUUCCGGGGGGCAUGCCUGUUCGAGCGUCAUUUAUACCAAUCUAGCCUGGCUAGGUGUUGGGCUUCGCCGUUUGGCGGGCCUUAAAACCAGUGGCGGUGCUCUUAGGCUCUACGCGUAGUAAUUUUCUCGCUAUAGGGUCCUGGGAGAUGUUUGCCAGCAACCCCAAAUUUUUCUAGGUUGACCUCGGAUCAGGUAGGGAUACCCGCUGAACUUAA
RNAcentral lists this ribosomal RNA (517 nucleotides) under uncultured fungus. RNAcentral's name for it is "eukaryotic LSU rRNA". The stretch from base 179 to 331 matches the Rfam family "5.8S ribosomal RNA". Lineage: Eukaryota; Fungi. The record is from RNAcentral.